This 957-nucleotide ribosomal RNA is filed under the name uncultured bacterium. RNAcentral describes it as "bacterial SSU rRNA". It matches the Rfam family "Bacterial small subunit ribosomal RNA", at positions 518 to 1499 of the family's 1533-position model. The record is from RNAcentral.
CGGUCAUACGUAGGGUCCAAGCAUUAUCCCGGAUUGACUGGGUGUAAAGAGUUGCGUAGGUGGCAGGGUAAGUAGAUAGUGAAAUCUGGUGGCUCAACCAUUCAGACUAUUAUCUAAACUGCUCCGCUCGAGAACGUUAGGGGUAGCUGGAAUUUCUAGUGUAGGAGUGAAAUCCGUAGAUAUUAGAAAGAACACCGAUAGCGUAGGCAGGCUACUGGGACGUUUCUGACACUAAGGCACGAAAGCGUGGGGAGCAAACGGGAUUAGAUACCCCCGGUAGUCCACGCUGUAAACGAUGGAUACUAGCAGUUCCCGGUAUCGACCCCGGAAGUUGCGAAGCUAACGCGUUAAGUAUCCCACCUGUGUAGUACGAUCGCAAGAUUAAAACAUAAAGGAAUUGACGGGGACCCGCACAAGCGGUGGAGCGUGAUCUUUAAUUCGAUGAUAAACGAUAAACCUUACCAAGGCUUGACAUCUAGGGAAGGCUCUCGAAAGAGAACUGUGCCUUUUAGGAACCCUAAGACAGGUGAUGCAUGGCCGUCGUCAGCUCGUGUCGUGAGAUGUUUGGUUAAGUCCAUCAACGAGCGCAACCCUUGCAACCAGUUGGAUUUUUCUGGUAGGACUGCCCCGGUAACGGGGAGGAAGGAGGGGAUGAUGUCAGGUCAGUAUUUCCCUUACGCCUUGGGCUAGAAUCGCGCUACAAUGGCCGGUACAAUGCGAAGCGAAGCAGUGAUGUGAAGCAAAUCGCACCAAAGCCGGUCCCAGUUCGGAUUGAAGGCUGAAACUCGCCUUCAUGAAGUCGGAAUCGCUAGUAAUCGCAGAUCAGCAUGUUGCGGUGAAUACGUUCCCGGGUCUUGUACACACCGCCCGUCAAACCAUGAGAGUCACCAACACCCGAAGUCCGGUUCGCCGGCCUAAGGUGGGGGAGAUGAUUGGGGUUAAGUCGUAACAAGGUAA